UCUUGACCUCAGCCCUCAGCCCUGUUUUGUAACUGCCUGUUUACUUGUUUUUCUUCCUUAGAGGGCCAGGCCCUAAAAGCCUAGGAUGAUGGCAAAUUUCUUGCUGUAUCUCCAACUUUCAUCAUGGAUCUUAGAAUACAGUGGCCUUCAAGUAAGUGUUCAUGAGGCGAAUAAAUGAGAAAGAGAAAGAAGACAAAAAGAAAAGGAACAACAAAAGGAAAAAGAAAGCUUCAUACAACCCUUGGCACACAGCAGGUGCCCUGAUGACAUAGAACAGGAUGCGUACUGAAACCACAAGGCUAAAAUGAAGGGAGGCAUGAGGGAUGUGGAGGCCCAAGCCACUGAAGCCUGGUGGGUGCUGGCCAGACAUUCUCGGUGCCAUUCAAGUCCCUCCACGUGGUAACUUUCCCACAGCUGAGGGUCAACCAUGAGUGGCCAGCGCUCACAGUUGAUGAGGAUGGUGGCAUUCUCCACGGACAUGCGGUCGGCUGGGAGGCCCUCGUUCUGCCAGGCAGCCACGUCAGCAUCGUCCAUCAGCAUCCUCAGGGGAUCCAGGGUCGGGGUGACUGGAAUGGGGGUCUGGUGAAGAAGAAACGCCACCCCAUGCUCAGAACAGAAGCAGACAUUCUCAGCUGGGUGAAUGCACAGUUACUCACCAAAUGACACAACUCCUUUAAAAGCAAGAUCAACAUCCUGCUGAAGAAUGCUUUUCUGGCUGUGUGAUUAUUUCUGGAAGCAGGUUCUAUUAAAGUCCUGAUAGCUUUUU
Molecule: long non-coding RNA, 766 nt
Organism: Symphalangus syndactylus (siamang)
Lineage: Eukaryota; Metazoa; Chordata; Mammalia; Primates; Hylobatidae
Source: RefSeq, a predicted model, not a curated record